GACGAACGCUAGCGGCAGGCCUAAUACAUGCAAGUCGAACGGUAAGGCUUCUUCGGAAGUACACGAGUGGCGCACGGGUGCGUAACACGUAUGCAACCUACCUUCCAGCGGAGAAUAGUCAUUGGAAACGAUGAAUAAUACUCCAUAUGCUCACGGUUUCACAUGGGACAGUGAGGAAAGCUCCGGCGCUGGGAGAUGGGCAUGCGCCCCAUUAGCUAGUUGGUAAAGUAACGGUUUACCAAGGCAACGAUGGGUAACUGGUCUGAGAGGAUGAUCAGUCACACGGGCACUGAGACACGGGCCCGACUCCUACGGGAGGCAGCAGUAAGGAAUAUUGGUCAAUGGGGGCAACCCUGAACCAGCCAUGCCGCGUGCAGGACGACGGCCCUCUGGGUUGUAAACUGCUUUUAUCUGGGAAUAAUCAUUUGCUAUACGCAGAUUUGUAGGUACCAGAAGAAUAAGCACCGGCUAACUACG
RNAcentral lists this ribosomal RNA (477 nucleotides) under uncultured Bacteroidota bacterium. RNAcentral's name for it is "bacterial SSU rRNA". It matches the Rfam family "Bacterial small subunit ribosomal RNA", at positions 28 to 505 of the family's 1533-position model. Lineage: Bacteria; Pseudomonadati; Bacteroidota. The record is from RNAcentral.